GAUAAUAUAUAUUAAUUUACGAAGGAUCUUGAGCUAACUAAUAAAAUAUACUAGUAUUAGAAUUAUAUGUUGCAAUAUAUAAACAAUAUUAUUGGUUAGGAGUGAUAGGCUUAUCAAAAUAUCCGAUAUCUUAAUGUUUAGGAAAAAUAUUAAGUAUUAAAGCAAUUUUGAAGUGGUGAGAUUUCAAAAGUUUACUAAUAUAAUUAAUUACAACAUAAAAUGCCUAACGGUAAUUAUUUUAACUAAUAGUUUAUUUAACAUUAAAAUUUGUAUUAUAUACUAAACUGUGCUUUUAAUAGUGUGAGUUAUUAUUACUGUUAAUAUUAGUAUUAUAAUAAUAAUACCAUUGAAGGAACUCGGCAAAUUAUUACUCGACUGUUUAUCAAAAACAUAGCUAGGUGUAUAUAUACUUAGUUACUUCUGCUCACUGGUAAUCUAAAUAGCCGCAGUACUCUGACUGUGCAAAGGUAGCAUAAUCAUUUGGCUUAUAAUUGAAGUCUGGCAUGAAAGAAACUACGGGUAAUUACUGUCUCCCUUGGUCACCUUGAACUUCCUUAAAGGGUGAAAAUGCCCUUUGAUAAAUAAUAGACGAGAAGACCCUAGAAAUUUUUUAUACCAUAGAUAAUCUUAUUUCUAUUUUGUUGGGGCGACAGAAUAACAUUUAACUUGUUUUAUUUAAUAUGAACUAUAUAUUGAGCAAAAAUAAAUUACUCUAGGGAUAACAGCAUAAUUUGAUAAAGUUUGUGACCUCGAUGUUGGACUAGGGAUUUCAUUAACCAGCAGUUAAUGAAACAGGCUCUGUUCGAGCAAUUAUUCCCUACAUGAUCUGAGUUCAGACCGGC
Molecule: ribosomal RNA, 842 nt
Filed under: Candidula unifasciata
Lineage: Eukaryota; Metazoa; Mollusca; Gastropoda; Stylommatophora; Geomitridae
Description: partial 16S ribosomal RNA
Rfam family: Archaeal large subunit ribosomal RNA (bases 367-524)
Source: RNAcentral